UCGAACCUGCGACCGAAGCAGUCGCACGGUUCCGGACUGCGCGCCUAGAACCGCGAGACCACCGCGGCCGGCUAUGUCUAUCUGUUGUGUUUAUUAAACUUAUGGAGAAAGGCUACGAACUUAUAUACCAACCCAGUAAAGAUAAAAUACGUCUUAAAUAUAAUGGAGUUAACGAGAAAAACUGCUUUUCCAAAGGAAUGGUACGAAGACAGCUCCAAAAACACAUCUGUUAGAGGAGAGAAGUUCACUGGUUUUUACCUUACGAACAAAUGCUGCAAAGAGGAAAAUAUUUGGCCGACCGCGUUGGCCGAGCGGUUUUAGGCGCUACAGUCUGGAACAGCGCGACCGCUAAGGUCGCAGGUUCGAAUCCUGCCUCGGGAAUGGAUGUGUGUGACGUCCUUAGGUUAGUUAGGUUUAAAUAGUUAUACGUUCUAGGGUACUUAUGACCUCAGAAGCUGAGUCCCUUAGUUCUCAGAGCCAUUUGAACCAUCGUACUGGUCUGAGGCAUCGUCUUGAUGUGAACAAACAUAUUUUUCUUCCGUUAGUUUGGCAACCGGAUGUAGAUUAAGAAAGUACUCUACCACAAUCUAUACCGUCUUCCAUACUGAUGUUGCAAAAUGUUCAACACGUAUUGUUUUCUCGAAAAUUUAUUCCAGAUAAUGGUGUUUGUGAAGCCAUAGAUUUUCUUGUAAGAUUCUGAACUUACAAUACAUUAGAGUACUGGAACCUAAAUCAAGCUACAUAAUAAGGCUGAAUAGUCUAGAUCUGUAGAGUAGAAGAUGUGGAAUGAAACAAUCACAACAUCUAUAAACUCCGCCUUAUCAUUUAGACUGGACAAUGGAGCAGUUGAAUUUUCUGCAGCAGUAUCACUAUGCAUUGUACAACCCUCUUUGUGCUGAAGGCAACAUUAAUGUCGAGUGAUUUGCCCUUCUGGUAUUGUCAUUAUGUACAUCAUUAUUCAUUUUGAACUGUAAUGGAUUAUUUAUGACAAACUUCAUGAUGGAAUAAAUAUACUGUGAAGCAGUACUGGUAAUCAGAAUAUCCAACUCCUUAAGCAGACGUCUAUAAGUUGAUUAAAAUGAUUCAGAGAUAUAAAAGGAAAACAGAGGGGUUCAUGGAGUGAAGAAGCUAUGAAAAAUGCUGUCACUGAAGUAGUCAAUGGCCAAAUGGGUUAUUAUCAAGCAGCAAUGACAUUUCAGGUGCCUCAAACAACCUUGAACGUAAGUGGCCUUGAAGGAAUUUAGAGGACAAGAGCAUUGUGGUCAAAUAAUCCCAAAUAAGUAUUUGUUACUUCAACUUCUGUGCAUCCUAUAUUUGAAAAUAUAUUAUCAAUAAGA
This is a long non-coding RNA of Schistocerca gregaria, 1337 nucleotides long. RefSeq lists it as uncharacterized. NCBI's taxonomy places the organism in Eukaryota, Metazoa, Arthropoda, Insecta, Orthoptera, Acrididae. The transcript is spliced from 5 exons. The record is from RefSeq and is a predicted model, not a curated record.